GGAGACCACACCCUCUCCCCUUGCCUUGAAACAUCCUUUGGGACUAGUCGCUGCCCACCAGGUGUAGGGAGGAGCAACCAGCUUGUGUAGCGGUCCCUCUUCUGGCCUAAGAUGCAAUGGUAGCAGAAGACUUCCAAGUUCACCAUCUACUGAGCACAACCUACUCACAGGCUGGUUGCAACCUGUCUUCUCAUUUGUAGCUUUUCUACUUUGUUUGGAAGGCUUGUUUUGGUCACAAGCUAUUUGAUUCUGCUUCACAUUGAUCAGUAUGUGGCCUUGGGUCUGUUUGACAAUCAAACCAUGCUGAAAGAAAUGUCCUCAAGUCUUUAUCUCUGAUGUUCAUCACAACAAUUAGCUUUGCCAUCCUUGAGGGGUGUUCUCACCAUAAGCAUCCUGAAAGCCGGAUCAUGUACACUACAACGUAUCUUCAGAUGCCUCCCCAGAAGACAGGAAAAAAAACAACAAAAACCACCACCACCACCACCACCACCAACAACAACAACAACAACAAAAAACCAAACCAAAACAAAACAAAAAAAAAAAAAAAAAAAAGAAGAACAAGGAACCCCUGCUAUACAUACAUUCCAAAACUUCUGAAUUUUCUCCCUGAGAGAUCUGAAAGUAUGAUGGGCUUCCUCACCACACAGAAAACUGAGAAGUCAGUCUUCACUGGCAUGCAUUAUUUGCUCUUUUGAAAGUCAUGCUGUGUUAAAAGGUUGCUUUGUUUGUAAAAAGGCAAUAAUUCAUAAUAUGUUUGUACGUGAGAACACAGUUUUAUUAUUAUCUUGAACAAGUAAUUAGAUUGAAAGUAGUGAUAACGACACACUGACAACACCAGUACAUAUAAAAAUGAGAAUGAGCUAAUCUUUCAGUGGCAAAGAAAAACCAGUUAUUGUAUUGCUUUAUCCAGUAGGCUUGAAUAAUACUAUCAUGACAUGAUAGCUUACGCUCAAUUUUAAACAUACACUUUACUUAAAAUAUAAUAUUCAUUUAGUAUGAAUAGGCUUUUUUUCCAUGCUGCUUUGAAAAAUAUUCUAUAAUAGUCUGUAAUGCAUCUGUUUCAAAGAGUUGGAAUUAUAUCUUCAUAUAAUUUAUGAAGCUAUACAAACUUGAUCAUAUCAAUACAGCUGUCAGGAAACAAUUUUCCUGUUCUUUGAGAAUUUUUAACAUAUAUAUAAAAAGAAAUCCCAUCUAAAAUGGGGCCAGAAAAGUCAAAAUUCCCAAAAUAAAAUAGAGAUGUUAAUCCUCCAGUCCAUAUCCUGUUUACUUUCACAUACUGUGUUAGCAUAGCAGCAACAACAAAAAAACACCGUUUGCUUUAAAAUACAUUGCAUUACUUUGGUAAUUUUGUAUAAAACUAUUCAUUAGCUUUUAAUUAAGUUUUUUUUAUACCCCAAAAAUAGUUAAAAAAUUAGAAUCAGGUCUAUUAGAGUCAGCUCUUUUUACUAACUCCCCAAAAUCUACACAGAGAACAGCUAUGGUAAACUGAUUUCUCCUCAGUAAGAAGAUGAGAAGCAUGCUUCUGUGAAAGUGCUUAAAAGCAAUUUUAUAGCUGAAGAAUCAUCACACACAAACUAAAUAUACAAAGCUUCCCCAGCAGACUACGAAAAAAACCCCAGAAGAUCAGUAAAUUCUUGUCUGAUUAUUAAAAAUGUGGUUUGACUAUACACUUUUUUGAAACCCAAGUCAUAUUUAUAUCCUUGAGUUUGUAAUUCUAAAAAAUACAUUCUUUCUGAGUAAGAUGAGAAAAGCAAUACUAUAUAUUCAGGACAUGACUAGCAAACACAAAUCAUAGUAAUAAUAAUAAAUCCUAAACAAGCAUUUCCCUAAGUGUGUUUUAGACAAAACGAUGAUAUUUUUUAAAAAAUGUAGACAUCUGUUGAUAGUUUUUUGCAUGUUUACACCAUGCUUAAUAUGCAUUAAAAAUCUAAUUUUUAUUAAAAAAUAAUUAAUGAAAGCAAACCUUAUGGCAACAGAAGAACACACUAGAAUGAAACAGAAACUGUCAGAAUAAAGCAAAUUUGCCCUAUUAAUCUGAUGCUUUAUGAUUGCCUGCUGCUUAUGCUAAGAUGUCAAAAAUUGAAUUAUUGUAGUUUUGGAAUAUUUUUAAUCUCUAAAUGCAACAACCAUCAGUCAGAGGAGAAAUUGCAUUUGAGUAAAUGAGUGUGACUCUCAUCUGGGCUAAAGGGAAAUGUUUCAGAAUUAUCACAGCAAGGCUGGCAUAGCCUCUGGACUGAAUUAAUCUAUCACAGGGGCUUUUAAUGUCUCCAAAACAGUAGUGCACACAGACUACUUGCUUCUUCUGACACAUCGAGCUAUUUCCCAGGAGACCUUGCUCUGGUCUACAGUACCACAAACAGUUUUAGGCAACUUGACACGGACUGUGUUUCAUCAGUGGUCUAAUUUCUCCAGGAUUUACAUUCCCUUUAAAGCAAACAGUGUUUGUCCUUGGGGAAAGUUGCACACCAAUAGGGUUUUCUUUUUUUUUUUCUUUUUUUUUUUCCCAUUAGGAUCAUGAAUGUCACUGUGGCUAAAAACAGUGCUAAUACAUAGUUUAAAGCUAAUCAAUGUAGAAUAUAAUCAAAUUCUUCUCUCACGCUCACCACAUCCCUAACUUGAAAGGGCAGCUAAUUCAGUUUCAUCUUUUAAGAAGCUUGGCAGAAAGUUUAUAAAUGGACAGUCAAUAUGACAAAUGAUUUAGAAUCUAUAAGAGAGAAGAGAGUCUUGAAAAAAUUCUCAGGGGUUAGUUUUAAAAGAAUGUAUCAGAGGAGGAAAUCCAGCAGCCACUGGUAAGCUAGUUCCUGUAUUGAUUCUGACCACAGGUCUCAGGGAUAAAAGAUCAUUGCAUCUUCCCUGACAUGAAGGACUCUUUGGUCACACUGGUUUUGUAGCUUAGCAGGAAAGAAUUAAUUUUACAAUACAAGCUCUUCAGAGUCCUACUGCAGAAGAAAUUCUUUUAAUUCAGAGCUUCCUUUUUUAUGGCCUUCCAACUGUUAGUUUUUGUGUGCUAUAAAACAUCCAGUUUCAAGCUAAAGGGCAGCAAAGUGGUGCUUAGGGUGCAGACAUGGGAGGAGCACUGAAGUCCUGUCAUUUCUCAGGUGAAGGAGGAAAAAAGCUGAGAGCAGCAACAGGAAAGCAAGUGUUGAGGCAGGAUUGCACCAGGGCUCUGCUCUGAAGGGGGCAACUACAGGGUGGCUACUCCUUUUAAAUUUUCCUAGCAGGGUCCAUAUCAGUCCCUGAAGAGAAGAAUUGUGACUGCCAGUAUGGUAAGAUCAGGUUCAGCAACUGAAUCUGCAUAUUGCAUACCAAAGGAAUUGUUGAUGGUACACUGUGGCUAAAGCUGAAUGCAUUGAGAUUAUAACACAGACAUUAAUUUCAUUCUGCUGAGUUCUUAUACUCAAACUAAUUAUUAUUUAGAGUAAUUUUUCUAAAUAGCUGGAUAAGCCUGAAAAAUUACAUUUGCAAUAGAAAAGUCAGCAAAACAUAUACUAAAGCUAUUAAAUGACAGUACUAUAAUAAAGACAUUUAUUCUUCAUUACCUAUUUGAUCAGCUAUGGUGGUCUCUAACCUGCUGCUCUCCUUACUACAGUGGCCCCAGCUCUAUGCUUUACUUAGCUUGAGAGAACAGAAGAGAAUUCAUUGUUAUUAACAAUACCUACACUAAGUAUCUAAGCUUAUGUUCAAGGCAAUAUGAUAUUUUUUUGUGCAUAUAAAGAAGGUGGUUUCUUGGUAGCAACUGAAAAACAUUGCCAUUGAAGUUUUAUAACAAAAAUCCUUAUUGAAAUUUGAGCAAUAAUAAUUCUUACUCAAAAGUCUUAAUAUUUGACUUGGCCACAAUAUAUUUCUACAAUCAAAAUUACAGACUCAAUAAUUGGAAAUAACUAAGGUUAUUGGAAAAUUAUCUGUUUACUUAUAGGAUAUAUGAAGUAUUUGCUAAAAUAUUAAUUAUUUUGCCAAAAAUGAGGAAAAAAUGUUACUGGCAACUUAAUUAUCGCAACACAUAAUUUCAGGUUUGUAUUGUUUAUUGCAAUAGUUUACCCUAGGCUUUCAAAAAAGGAGGUUUGAUUUAGUAUAUUUUUAAAACUUUCCCUACUUCUACAGCUGGUGUAGUUAUAAUUUUAAGUUUUCUUUAUUUGCUCCAAAGCAAAGUCUUAAAAGUUAUGUGCACAACAGCUAAGCUCAGAAACACUGACACUUAGUUUAUCUGGCUCAUCUUUUCAGAGUGAUUUCUUUGGCUAUGUUUUGUUUUAAUUCCAGUAUGUGGCUUCAUGAAUUUUGAUCUUGGGAGGUGGUAGUGCUUCUGAGCACUCUUUUAAUUCAAUAAUAAGUAAUUGCCCCUAAGACAGAAGGGUUCCAGAGGGAAAGAAAUGGGAAGCUGGUAGGAUUUGAAUAUAUUCAUGUGGGUGCAGAGAUUUGCAACUGGCAAAAAUGUGCAAGCAGAUGGAGCCGUGUAAUCACUACUUAGGUUCCUGAAUAACAUGUGUCGUAGUCAUUUGGCCAUUGAAUGCAAUGGUUAGAGCUGAGAAAUACUGAAUGUCUCCUGACAAAAUGGAAGAUAGCUUAACAUCGUCAAAGGUAUGCUACAUAUCCACAGCUUGUGGUCUGAUAUCUAUGACUAUCUGAGGAAAAACCCCUACUCUAGGGGCAGGUGGUCCAUUGUACCAAUGGACACACACAACAUGCCUCCUCCCCGCCGCUCCUCCUGCAACCAGGAACAACUACAAAAAAACCUGCCCACAAAAAAAGCUGUCCACAACAGGAGGUGUAUAUUCCAGUCCUACUGACCAGGGCAAUGUGACCACAAUUAAGCUUUGAACAAGUUCCUGUAAAGUGGUCUGAAAUCAGCAUUAUGAUCUAGGGGCAACACAGCACUCAAAGGUGAACGUGGAGAGUGGAGUCCUCCCAUUCUUUUCCUAAAGUGCUGUAUGACUGAGAGGAGUAAUUUCAUCAUGCUGUUCUUUUACAUCAUUUCCAUUCACAUUAAGAGGUCUUUGGCUACUUAAACUGUACAUAAUGUAAAGACACUGCUUCACAGCAUGCUUUCAAAGCAUCUAGCACAUUAUGUUCCAGAGUUCUGUAAAAGCCUUCUAUUCACCACAAAAAUAGUGAUAGAUAAUAAUAAAUACUGUUGCAACAUAGUGUUGGAAACUCAUUCAAACACCAGUCCAUAAAGCUGGGUACAUCUAAACCAUUGUGUUGUCCGUCUGCUGAAGAAACCUGACUAUUCUGCUGUUUGGGAGGGAUUCAGUGACAAAGUACCCCUCUACUCAAUCUGGCCUUCAUCCUCAGAGGAUACCUACUCACUCCAGGAUAGUAUUUUGAAGCUUGAGCUGUUCUGUACCUCUUAACAUAACGUGGUUUUAGCGUACUGUAUAUUGUUUAUCACUAAAAUGCAAACAUCUUUUGGAUUUUGAAUAAAUGCUGAUUCUGAAUAAUUUUGGAUGCUAUACUAGACAACAAAAUAACCAGAUGAUCUGGUCUCACAUUUAGGAUGCGUUUAUCUAAUAUAUUUUCCUCUCAUCUGUCUCUUUUCUUUUUACUCUUAUUGUGAGCUGUGCUCCCUCUUGUUAUUUUUUUCCCAUCUCCUUAACUAACUUAGGGUGCUUGGAAAACAGCAAAAACCAGUCACUGAUUUCAGGUCAUGUAAAAACAAUAAGUGAAUAAAAAAACCAGCAUUUUUAUGCUGACUUCUAUAAGUAAAAUUAC
Long non-coding RNA from Columba livia (rock pigeon), 5706 nucleotides. RefSeq lists it as uncharacterized. The transcript is spliced from 4 exons. NCBI's taxonomy places the organism in Eukaryota, Metazoa, Chordata, Aves, Columbiformes, Columbidae. The record is from RefSeq and is a predicted model, not a curated record.